UACGUAGGGGGCAAGCGUUGUCCGGAAUCAUUGGGCGUAAAGCGCGUGUAGGCGGCCACGUUAGUCCGUUCUGAAAGCCCGGGGCUCAACCCCGGGAGGCGGAUGGAUACUGCGUGGCUCGAGUCCGGAAGAGGCGAGUGGAAUUCCUGGUGUAGCGGUGAAAUGCGCAGAUAUCAGGAGGAACACCAAUAGCGAAGGCAGCUCGCUGGGACGGUACUGACGCUGAGGCGCGAAAGCGUGGGGAGCGAACAGG
Molecule: ribosomal RNA, 253 nt
Filed under: uncultured bacterium
Lineage: Bacteria
Description: partial 16S ribosomal RNA
Rfam family: Bacterial small subunit ribosomal RNA
Source: RNAcentral